This 302-nucleotide unclassified non-coding RNA is filed under the name uncultured fungus. RNAcentral's name for it is "sequence contains ITS1". The stretch from base 1 to 105 matches the Rfam family "5.8S ribosomal RNA", at positions 50 to 154 of the family's 154-position model. Lineage: Eukaryota; Fungi. The record is from RNAcentral. RNAcentral also lists the same sequence under 2 other names.
GAAAUGCGAUAAGUAGUGUGAAUUGCAGAAUUCAGUGAAUCAUCGAAUCUUUGAACGCACAUUGCGCCCCUUGGUAUUCCAUGGGGCAUGCCUGUUCGAGCGUCAUUUGUACCUUCAAGCUCUGCUUGGUGUUGGGUGUUUGUCUCGCCUUUGCGUGUAGACUCGCCUUAAAACAAUUGGCAGCCGGCGUAUUGAUUUCGGAGCGCAGUACAUCUCGCGCUUUGCACUCAUAACGACGACGUCCAAAAAGUACUUUUUACACUCUUGACCUCGGAUCAGGUAGGGAUACCCGCUGAACUUAA